AAUCGCGAAUCAGAAUGUCGCGGUGAAUACGUUCCCGGGCCUUGUACACACCGCCCGUCACACCAUGGGAGUUGGUUCUACCCGAAGAUGGUGCGCUAACCUUUUGGAAGCAGCCAGCCACGGUAGGAUCAGCGACUGGGGUGAAGUCGAAACAAGGUAGCCGUAGGGGAACCUGCGGCUGGAUCACCUCCUU
RNAcentral lists this ribosomal RNA (193 nucleotides) under Chaetoceros affinis. RNAcentral's name for it is "partial Bacterial small subunit ribosomal RNA". It matches the Rfam family "Bacterial small subunit ribosomal RNA", at positions 1340 to 1532 of the family's 1533-position model. The record is from RNAcentral. Lineage: Eukaryota; Bacillariophyta; Thalassiosirophyceae; Chaetocerotales; Chaetocerotaceae.